UACGUAGGGGGCAAGCGUUGUCCGGAAUCAUUGGGCGUAAAGAGCGUGUAGGCGGCUUGGUAAGUCCGCUGUGAAAGUCCAGGGCUCAACCCUGGAAUGCCGGUGGAAACUGUCAAGCUUGAGUCCGGAAGAGGCGAGUGGAAUUCCUGGUGUAGCGGUGAAAUGCGCAGAUAUCGGGAGGAACACCAAUGGCGAAGGCAGCUCGCUGGGACGGUACUGACGCUGAGACGCGAAAGCGUGGGGAGCAAACAGG
This 253-nucleotide ribosomal RNA is filed under the name uncultured bacterium. RNAcentral describes it as "partial 16S ribosomal RNA". It matches the Rfam family "Bacterial small subunit ribosomal RNA", at positions 524 to 776 of the family's 1533-position model. The record is from RNAcentral.